AGUGAACGCUGGCGGUAGGCCUAACACAUGCAAGUCGAACGGCAGCACAGUAAGAGCUUGCUCUUACGGGUGGCGAGUGGCGGACGGGUGAGGAAUACAUCGUAAUCUACUUUUUCGUGGGGGAUAACGUAGGGAAACUUACGCUAAUACCGCAUACGACCUACGGGGGAAAGCAGGGGAUCUUCGGACCUUGCGCGAAUGAAUGAGCCGAUGUCGGAUUAGCUAGUUGGCGGGGUAAAGGCCCACCAAGGCGACGAUCCGUAGCUGGUCUGAGAGGAUGGUCGGCCACACUGGAACGUGAACACGGUCCAGACUCCUAAGGGAGGCAGCAGUGGGGAAUAUUGGACAAUGGGCGCAAGCCUGACCCAACCAGACCGCGUGGGUGAAGAAGGCCUUCGGGUUGUAAAGCCCUUUUGUUGGGAAAGAAAAGCAGCAGGUUAAUACCCCGCUGUUCUGACGGUACCCAAAGAAUAAGCACCGGCUAACUUCGUG
Molecule: ribosomal RNA, 492 nt
Filed under: uncultured bacterium
Lineage: Bacteria
Description: partial 16S ribosomal RNA
Rfam family: Bacterial small subunit ribosomal RNA
Source: RNAcentral